CACGUAGGGUGCGAGCGUUGUCCGGAAUUAUUGGGCGGAAAGAGCUCGUAGGCGGUGUGUCGCGUCGGCCGUGAAAACCUGCAGCUUAACUGUGGGCUUGCGGUCGAUACGGGCAUCACUGGAGUUCGGCAGGGGAGACUGGAAUUCCUGGUGUAGCGGUGAAAUGCGCAGAUAUCAGGAGGAACACCGGUGGCGAAGGCGGGUCUCUGGGCCGAUACUGACGCUGAGGGGCGAAAGCGUGGGGAGCGAACAGG
This 254-nucleotide ribosomal RNA is filed under the name uncultured bacterium. RNAcentral's name for it is "partial 16S ribosomal RNA". It matches the Rfam family "Bacterial small subunit ribosomal RNA", at positions 524 to 776 of the family's 1533-position model. The record is from RNAcentral.